CUUUUGUUUUCCAGGCACCAACAAAUAAGCAAACGUAUAUUGCAAUGAAUGAGUUUACAAGUCAAGUGUGGGUAUUGCAUUUUUCUCAUCGUUUUAAGCAUAAUCCCGUUAGUUUUUCCAACAGUGAAAUUUUUUUCCAUACACUCUUUUAACAUUUAGUAGUUUUUGACGAAACUGGCGAUUCCCACAAAGUUUACUAAUCGCUGAUCGCUAAAAAAAAUCCACAAGGUUUCAUUAGUGAUCUUUUGAAUUCAUCCGAGAUGCUCCCUACGAUUUCUGUUAUUUUUGCAAGCACAUUCGAAACGAGCAAUAUUUUCUCAUUCUCACGCCAGGAUGGAUGCAACAGAUCUAACAUCGUUGCUCUAUUCAAAAAUUCAUUGUAGGGGUGAUUUGCAAAAAAGAACAUGCAAAACAAGCAUGACAUUGAAAUAACAGAACUGGCAAAAGCAGUAAACGAAAAAAAAAGGGGCAAAAAUUAAGAAAUGAAACUGUAAAUGAACGGGUUUAAAAGAUAAAAAAUUUGCUUAAAUGUAUUAAUUAAACAGGGAAUUUGCUGAAAAAAGAGCACUGCUCUCAUACUUAACCUUCGUACUCUUAUUAUCGAGAAAACCAACGCUACUUGGUGAAUUGAUAUCUUCGCCAAUAGCAAAUUGGAUAUAUCAUUUAUCUCCAAUUCAUCAGCUAUCCCUUGCUGAAUCCACUAAAGAUUAAUAAUGAACGAAAAUAAUUUCAAUGAGAAGUAUGAGUUUGUUGGGUAAAGUGAUUUAUGAACCUAUGACAUGUUGAAUCGUGUAGUAACUUUCGUAAUGAAGAAAUGAUAUUGCCGUUCAAAUUAUAUCCUACUAAAUUUAAUCUUAUUACGAUCAACAAGCUAAAUCGUUCGGAUACUUACUAUUUUCAUCGACAUGAACUAAAACAAUAACGAGUAACAACUUUGAAUCGUAAACGAAUUCUAAAUUUUGGAGUAUGUUCCACAUUGAAGAUCGUUAAGAUGAAUGGCUAAAGCAAUUGAUUCCUAAAUAGAAAUUUCUUUUUUAUGCUAUCUUACUACCUCAUUGUUGUUAAAAAUACUUUUAUUUUGGAAAUUAAUGAAAGAUAGAGCGGUAUUGUUUAAUGGAAUUGAUCUUUCCGGAUCUGUCUAGAUUUUCAAUCCGCACUAGCGUACCAACACAUUAUACUUUGAAGCAUUUGAUUAGCGGCUUGUUCAAACACACACGUAGAUGUAUCACGGUAUUCCAUGAAGAGAUAUGAUCGUGGAAGAAAACUAAUAUGGGCGGCUAUCAAAAAAAGUCGACCGGCUGGAGAACUAGUUUGCAAUGAUGCCGAAGAAUGCAAAGGAAAAAUAUUAGGCACAUUUGAAGGCUAGGUAUUUGAGAAAAGAAUUAUAGUGAAUGAUAAU
Molecule: non-coding RNA, 1399 nt
Organism: Schizosaccharomyces pombe (fission yeast)
Lineage: Eukaryota; Fungi; Ascomycota; Schizosaccharomycetes; Schizosaccharomycetales; Schizosaccharomycetaceae
Source: the annotation of a GenBank genome assembly